RNAcentral lists this ribosomal RNA (466 nucleotides) under uncultured bacterium. Its description in RNAcentral is "partial 16S ribosomal RNA". It matches the Rfam family "Bacterial small subunit ribosomal RNA", at positions 29 to 507 of the family's 1533-position model. The record is from RNAcentral.
AUGAACGCUGGCGGCGUGCUUAACACAUGCAAGUCGAACGGAAAGGCCCAAGCUUGCUUGGGUACUCGAGUGGCGAACGGGUGAGUAACACGUGGGUGAUCUGCCCUGCACUUCGGGAUAAGCCUGGGAAACUGGGUCUAAUACCGGAUAGGACCACUUCUUGGAUGUUGUGGUGGAAAGUUUUUUCGGUGUGGGAUGAGCUCGCGGCCUAUCAGCUUGUUGGUGGGGUAAUGGCCUACCAAGGCGUCGACGGGUAGCCGGCCUGAGAGGGUGUACGGCCACAUUGGGACUGAGAUACGGCCCAGACUCCUACGGGAGGCAGCAGUGGGGAAUAUUGCACAAUGGGCGCAAGCCUGAUGCAGCGACGCCGCGGGGGGGAUGACGGCCUUCGGGUUGUAAACUCCUUUCGCUAGGGACGAAGCGUUUUGUGACGGUACCUGGAGAAGAAGCACCGGCUAACUACGUG